AAACUAUUACCUCCGUCCCAAAUUACUCGUCUUAGAUUUGUUUAGAUACGAAUGUGUCUAACGCUAAAAUGUGUCUAGAUAUAUCCAUAUCUACACAAAUCUAAGACAUGUAAUUCGGGGAGGAGGGAGUAUGUU
Molecule: non-coding RNA, 135 nt
Organism: Triticum aestivum (bread wheat)
Lineage: Eukaryota; Viridiplantae; Streptophyta; Magnoliopsida; Poales; Poaceae
Source: Rfam